AUUGAACGCUGGCGGCAUGCUUUACACAUGCAAGUCGAACGGUAACAGGGUGCUUGCACCGCUGACGAGUGGCGAACGGGUGAGUAAUGCAUCGGAACGUACCCAGUCGUGGGGGAUAACGUAGCGAAAGUUACGCUAAUACCGCAUACGUCCUGAGGGAGAAAGCGGGGGACCGUAAGGCCUCGCGCGAUUGGAGCGGCCGAUGUCGGAUUAGCUAGUUGGUAGGGUAAAGGCCUACCAAGGCGACGAUCCGUAGCGGGUCUGAGAGGAUGAUCCGCCACACUGGGACUGAGACACGGCCCAGACUCCUACGGGAGGCAGCAGUGGGGAAUUUUGGACAAUGGGCGAAAGCCUGAUCCAGCCAUGCCGCGUGAGUGAAGAAGGCCUUCGGGUUGUAAAGCUCUUUCAGCCGGAAAGAAAUCGCGCAGGAUAAUACUCUGCGUGGAUGACGGUACCGGCAGAAGAAGCACCGGCUAACUACGUGC
RNAcentral lists this ribosomal RNA (485 nucleotides) under uncultured bacterium. RNAcentral describes it as "partial 16S ribosomal RNA". It matches the Rfam family "Bacterial small subunit ribosomal RNA", at positions 29 to 508 of the family's 1533-position model. The record is from RNAcentral. RNAcentral also lists the same sequence under 1 other name.